GCCUACGGCCACACCACUCUGGCAACGCCCGAUCUCGUCCGAUCUCGGAAGCUAAUCAGAGUCGGGCCCGGUUAGUACUUGGAUGGGAGACCUCCUGGGAAUACCGGGUGCCGUAGACU
Molecule: ribosomal RNA, 119 nt
Organism: Callipepla squamata (scaled quail)
Lineage: Eukaryota; Metazoa; Chordata; Aves; Galliformes; Odontophoridae
Source: Rfam